RNAcentral lists this ribosomal RNA (435 nucleotides) under uncultured archaeon. Its description in RNAcentral is "bacterial SSU rRNA". It matches the Rfam family "Archaeal small subunit ribosomal RNA", at positions 18 to 458 of the family's 1478-position model. The record is from RNAcentral.
GGGACCUGACUGCUAUCGGAUUGAUANUAAGCCAUGUGAGUCAUUGUAGUAAUACAAGGCAUACGGCUCAGUAACACGUGGUCAACCUACCCUGUGGAUGAGGAUAAUCUCGGGAAACUGAGGAUAAUACUCGAUAGAUCAUAAUGCCUGGAAUGGUUUAUGGUUAAAAUGAUUCGUCGCCAUAGGAUGGGACUGCGGCCUAUCAGCUUGUUGGUGAGGUAAUGGCCCACCAAGGCGAUUACAGGUACGGGCUCUGAGAGGAGGAGCCCGGAGAUGGGUACUGAGACACGGACCCAGGCCCUAUGGGGCGCAGCAGGCGAGAAAACUUUGCAAUGUGCGAAAGCACGACAAGGUUAAUCCGAGUGAUUUCUGCUAAAGAAAUCUUUUGUUAGUCAUAAAACCACUGAUGAAUAAGGGGUGGGCAAGUUCUGGUGU